RNAcentral lists this ribosomal RNA (501 nucleotides) under Bacillus pumilus. Its description in RNAcentral is "bacterial SSU rRNA". It matches the Rfam family "Bacterial small subunit ribosomal RNA", at positions 61 to 544 of the family's 1533-position model. The record is from RNAcentral. Lineage: Bacteria; Bacillati; Bacillota; Bacilli; Caryophanales; Bacillaceae.
GUCGAGCGGACAGAAGGGAGCUUGCUCCCGGAUGUUAGCGGCGGACGGGUGAGUAACACGUGGGUAACCUGCCUGUAAGACUGGGAUAACUCCGGGAAACCGGAGCUAAUACCGGAUAGUUCCUUGAACCGCAUGGUUCAAGGAUGAAAGACGGUUUCGGCUGUCACUUACAGAUGGACCCGCGGCGCAUUAGCUAGUUGGUGGGGUAAUGGCUCACCAAGGCGACGAUGCGUAGCCGACCUGAGAGGGUGAUCGGCCACACUGGGACUGAGACACGGCCCAGACUCCUACGGGAGGCAGCAGUAGGGAAUCUUCCAGCAAUGGACGAAAGUCUGACGGAGCAACGCCGCGUGAGUGAUGAAGGUUUUCGGAUCGUAAAGCUCUGUUGUUAGGGAAGAACAAGUGCGAGAGUAACUGCUCGCACCUUGACGGUACCUAACCAGAAAGCCACGGCUAACUACGUGCCAGCAGCCGCGGUAAUACGUAGGUGGCAAGCGUUGU